CGUAGGGUGCAAGCGUUGUCCGGAUUUAUUGGGCGUAAAGAGCUCGUAGGCGGUCAGUCACGUCGGAUGUGAAAACCCGGAGCUUAACUCCGGGCCUGCAUUCGAUACGGGCUGACUAGAGUGUUGUAGGGGAGACUGGAACUCCUGGUGUAGCGGUGAAAUGCGCAGAUAUCAGGAAGAACACCGGUGGCGAAGGCGGGUCUCUGGGCAACUACUGACGCUGAGGAGCGAAAGCGUGGGGAGCAAACAGGAUUAGAUACCCUGGUAGUCCACGCCGUAAACGGUGGGCGCUAGGUGUGGGGAACAUUCCACGUUCUCCGUGCCGCAGCUAACGCAUUAAGCGCCCCGCCUGGGGAGUACGGCCGCAAGGCUA
Molecule: ribosomal RNA, 373 nt
Filed under: uncultured organism
Description: bacterial SSU rRNA
Rfam family: Bacterial small subunit ribosomal RNA
Source: RNAcentral